UGUCGUUUUAAGUGUUAAAAGUUUAACGUUGAAUAUACAAUGCAUCUUUCCAUUCGGUUGUACAAUAUUCUGUUCACAGUUUUGUCUUUUUUAUAGGUUCAUGAUUUUUAUUUUAUAUUCCGUUCUGAUUUUUCAGUAAGUCUUCAGUUGUUGCGCGCCCUGUAACACCAUAACUAAUUUUCUACAUUUGAACAUGCCUGUACCAAGUCAGGAAUAUGACAGUUCUUGUCCAUUCGUUUUUGAUGCGUUUUGUUAUUUGAUUUUGCCAUGUGAUUAUGGACUUUCCUAAUUGAUUUUCCUCUAAGUUCAGUAUUUUUGUGAUCUUACUUUUUAUAAUCAAAACACAUUUCAGCUCGAUUGAAAAAAAGUCAUAGAAAGGUUUUCA
RNAcentral lists this long non-coding RNA (385 nucleotides) under Mytilus galloprovincialis (Mediterranean mussel). The record is from RNAcentral. Lineage: Eukaryota; Metazoa; Mollusca; Bivalvia; Mytilida; Mytilidae.